Molecule: long non-coding RNA, 4941 nt
Filed under: Sus scrofa (pig)
Lineage: Eukaryota; Metazoa; Chordata; Mammalia; Artiodactyla; Suidae
Description: lncRNA (ENSSSCG00030053786.1)
Source: RNAcentral
UCUCUUUUCUUCUGUUCACAAUCUGUUCACCCUCCAGGUCUCUUUUAAAACAUGUUCUCUACAGAGUGCUUAUCUUGCAUUUCCAGCUGUCAGAUCUGUUUCUAUAUUCUGCUGGAUUUUCACUAGUACAUUAAACUUAACAGAUAUAAAAGUGAACUCAUUCUAUUUUCCCCAAACCAAUUCUUUCUCUCGACUUUGAAAUUUUGACUUAUGAUAGCAUCAUUCUUUCAGUCACUGGGAUUGGAAACUGGCAGAGACAUAGUUGUGAUUUUUUUUUUCCUGUUGAUCACCCUUCCCAGUCAUUUCUCCAACAAGUAGCCACUUUUUUAGAUUCAAAAUCCUUUCAUCUUUAUCUCUGGACAUUGUCUUGCUUGUCUCUUCUCUGUGCCAAUUGCUAGUUCCUCUAGCUUGAAAGAGAACACGCUUCCCAGGUUGUCUUUGAUAUUCCCAUUUCUUCAUAAUGUAAUUUAUAUACCCACUCCAAUUUUUACAGUAACUGCUAUAUUAAUCUUCCCUAAGCAUAGAAUUAAUCAUCUAAUUCUCCAAUGCAAAAUGGUUUUCCAUUUCCUAAUAAAUUAAAUGAUAUACAUCCAACCCAAAAUAUAAUUACCAUUUCCCUUUCUAAACUUAUGCCCCAUUAUUUCAUUACUUCUUCUUUUUUUACAAAGUGCAUUAGGUUUUUUUAAAUGGCUGCACCUGCAGCAUAUGGACAUUCUCAGGCCAGAGGUCAAAAUGAAGCUGCAGCUGGAGCCUACGUCACAGCCAUGGCAACACCACAUCCAAGCUGCAUCUGUGACCUAAGCCACAGCUUGCAGCAAUGCUGGAUCCUUAGUGCACUGAGUGAGGCCAGGGAUUGAAUCCACAUCCUCACAGACACAGUGGUGGGUUCUUAACCUGCUGAGCCACAAUGGGAACUCCAGAUUUAAUUUUUAAAAAGUUAAAUUUUUGAAUAAAGAAUUCUUGCAAAAAGCCCACAACUUUAUGGAAGAUUAGGGGAAAAGACAGUUGGAUCAUAGGUGGACAAACAGAAAAAAUAAAGGUCUGAAUUGUUCAUACUUAAAGGAAUUCAAUUUUUAUUAAAUAAGAGUUAAGUCCCAUUAUUUCUUUGAGUAGGCCUGUGUGUAUUUUCCACUCACAUUAUAAUAUGCAUCAAAUUCUAAAUACUCCUUUCAUUUUUUUCAAAACUUAUCAUUUAUAUGGAAGUUCCCAGGCUAGGGGUGGAAUUGGAGCUACAGCUUCCGGCCACAGCCACAUCCACAGAAACCCAGGAUCUGAGCCACAUCUGCAAUGUACAGCACAGCUCAUGGGCAACACCGGAUCCUUAACCCACUGAGUGAGGCCAGGGAUUGAACCCACAUCCUCAUGGAUCCUAGUCAGGUUCUUUAACCACUGAGCCACAAAGGGAACUCCCCAUUUAUUAAUUUCUUAUACUAUUUCCUCUGCCUGGUACAUUUUAUUUUCCAUUUCUAUUUAUUGAAACUUUAAAAUUGCCCCUCAGUGUGAAGCCCUCCCUGAUUUUUCCUGACUUCUGAAAUUAGAAGUGUUUGCCUCUCUAGAAAAAUUCACUUCCUAAUUAAAAGCAAGCUGGAAACUAGAGAUGUGCUAACAGGUAAACUUAGUGAUCAUCUGGUAGGGAAGGGUAAAUAGUUAAGUUAAGGUCAGUUACUGGGUUGCUUAAACAUAAAAUACUAAAUACUAACCGGGUGCAGCUAAUUCUACAGUAUUGGGAAAAAAUAUGAGAAGGCAAUAAACUAGAUAAUGCAACAGAGAUUAUGUCCUAUUUUGAAUCUCGGUUAACUGUGCCAUUCUUGUUUACAUCCCCCCUUCCUUUUUUUUCAGUAAUAAAAUUGACAAUUCCAAUACCCCUAUCCACAACAGUGACUCCUCAUGGCAGGAGUUCUUAUGGUUGAAACAGGAAUGGGUCAGUAGCAUCUUCACUGUGGCGAACAUAUUCAAAUCUUAGAGCAAGUGUCACACAUUUAUUACAGAGCAUUCACUUCAACUCCCACGCUCAAAUUUCCUCCCUGACCAAGAUACUCAGGAGUGUACAUUAUGUCUCACACAAAAUGAUAAGCUUUUUGAAGGCAGGUACUAUUCACUGUUGCAACUUCCAGAUGACAUACUGCAGCCUAUGGUGCAGAGUUGAAACUAAAGAAACUUCUGUUAUGAUUAAAUGAACAGGCAAUUGAAAAAUUUCCAUAUUUUUCCUUAAUUAUUGAAUUAGGGUAAUUUUUCCUACUUGAAUAUAAUGUAAGAUAUUCCUAUUUUAAGGCUGAGGGCAGAUACCAUGGUUUCAUGCUUCGUUCUGAGAAUUACUUAACAAAAUAUCUGAUUCUUCUCUCUUACUUAUUAGAAGAUUGAAGCCUGGAAAAUCUUAAUUUUAAUCAUUGACAAUGGAGUAUAGUUUUAUUCCAGACACUAAAGUCUUUUAAUCUUUAAAUUACUUUUCUUUGGCAAAUAUAAUGAGAUCUUAAAGAGGGAAAAGAAGAAAAUAUGAAUGAGAAUAGCUCAUUGCUUACAAUUCUUAUUAAAGGGAAAUUUAUGCCUCACACAGAUUAUUUUGUUAAGAGACAAAAUUAAAUAUUUGACAAAAUGUCUGAACCAAUAUUUCAUUUUCUUUUCAAAAGUAGUUGAAUAUCCAUCAAAAUACAAGUCUAGGAAAAAUGCAAGAGGGACUUAGUAUUAAUGAUGUAUUUUAAAGGAAAUGUUAAUUAAAUUAUCUAUGAACUUAUUUCAAGCCCAAGAUGUAACAAAAAUAUCCCUCUGGACAAGCAAAAAUUUAUAUUACUUCUAAUCUCAGUUUGGACACAUGUUAAAGCGUAAUUAUUUUAACAAUAUCAACUAUUUGAGUCCAACUCUGUAAUAGGCUUUUUCUUAGUAUAUUGCAUACAUUAUAUUAAUGGAUUAAGUGCUACCAAAUGCUUUACAUGUAUUAUCUCUAAUAUCUCAAUAAUUUUGCAGUGAAGAUAUCAUUAUCUUUACUGGAUAUAGAAGACACCAAAGCUCUUAUAAAUUAGUGCCAGAUUAGAUAGGGAUAUAAGUAUUCCUAACUCCAAAGAUUUUUUAUGUCAUCACACAGAGACUAUUUUCCAAUCCUACUGAAGGAUUUUACGUAGAAUGUUGUGAUAAGUCUUAAGUACUUUAUCACCUCUUUUGCUUUCCUUUAUGCUUAGCUAUAAGUCAAGUAAAGAUAGGGUUAAGAAGAGAUGACCUAUUGCCCAUCAAUUAAGAACCUUUCCUUUAUAAAACAAUCUCUCUUACUAUACUGUAACACCCACUUUGAUUUGGAUAUAUUUGAUAAAAUGCUUCAUACUGUCUCACACAUACACCAUGUACAAGUACAAAUGCAAAUUAUGUUUUGUCUAGUUAGAGUCCAAGAAGAGGGACAAAACUGGAUAUGAGUAUUUUUCAAAAACAUAGGAACACAAACAAAAUGUAGGCAGAAAUUUAAAAUCUCUGGUAUAAAACAAAAGUAGAAAUUUUACUCUACAAGUGCUUUAAAGUAAGAAUAUCCAAAAAGCUCCCAAGUCCUACCAAACGACUUGAAGAAGGCACUUGCUAUGUGCCACUGCCUUAUACACUGUAUCUGAGUGAACCCAUCUGUUAUUAACAGAUGUUUAAUUGCCAUAGAUAGGAAAUCUGGCUCAUGAUUCACAGUGACAUGAUAUUAUAUAAAGCCAUGCUUUAUGUUAUCAUCAUCCCUCUCUCUCUCUCUCUUUUUUUUUGGCUUUUAGGGCCACACCCGCAGCAUAUGGNACUCUCUCUCUCUUUUUUUUUGUCUUUUAGGGCCACACCCGCAGCAUAUGGAGGUUCCCAGGCUAGGAAUCCAAUCAGAGCCGUAGCUGCCUGCCUACACCACCACCACAACCACAACCACAGCAACUCCGGAUCCGAGCUGCAUCUGUGAACUACACCACAACUCACGGCAAUGCUGGAUCCUUAACCCACUGAGCGGGGUCAGGGCUCAAACCCACGUCCUCAUGGAUGCUAAUUGGGUUGGCUAACUGCUAGGCCACAACAGGAACUUCAAUGUCAUCAUUUCUGAACUGAUAGCCGAUAACCACAAAUUAGUCCAACUCAAAUGGUGACUCUUGGAGCGGUCAAUAAGAAAACAAUCAGUAGAGUAGAUGUUUGUAGGGUUUGUCAGCAUAAGGCAAGGGAUAUUUUAGUGUGUCUAGGUCAAUAUUUCAUGUGCAUAAAUAGAAAUAUGUUGUUCAGUUUAAACAGUGUUCGUCUAUCUGCCUUUGUAUAUGUGACAUCAUAAAGUGGAACACACUAUUGGGGUUUAUUGUUAGGCCCCUCUGUUUGGUAGAGACCUAUAAUCAGAGACUCCACUGUUUAUACACAUGUAGGAUGGUCCUAGAUGGAUCUACUAGGAUGGAUUGUGCAGCCCUGCUUUUCUUCUUUAGAUUUCAGCACUAAAUCUGUCACUAUACCCCUGUAUUAGUCCAUUUGGGAUGCUAAACAAAAACGCCAUAAAUUGGGUUGCUCACAAACAACAGAAACUUGUUCUCACAGUUCUGAAGGAUGGGAAAUCCAAAAUUAAGGCACCAGCUGACUUGGUAUUAGUCAUGGCCAUCUUCCCAAAUGUACCUUCCCUUCACAUGGCAGCCGGGGCAAAGAGUCUCUUUGGGACUUCCUCUAUAAGGGCACUGAUCCCAUUUAGGAAGGAACCACCUUCAUGACCUAAUCACCUCCCACUUCCUAAUAACCAUCACAGUGGGGAGGUUAGGAUUUCAACUUGUUAUUUUUGAGGGGACACAAACAUUCAGACUAUAGCAAUCUCUGACUAAAUAAAAUUCAUGUAGCACAAUAUAUUACAUGAGUCAGGUGGAGGCUGCAAACUAAGAAUUAACAUAGAGAGAGUUAAAUAAUAAAUGAGUCCAAAUCUACUUUGGGUUUAAAAUAUUGGGAUAAUAUCAAGUGGAUCACAGAUAAAUC